RNAcentral lists this transfer RNA (74 nucleotides) under Nitrososphaera sp. Its description in RNAcentral is "tRNA-Gln". It matches the Rfam family "tRNA". Rfam says of the family: Transfer RNA (tRNA) molecules are approximately 80 nucleotides in length. Their secondary structure includes four short double-helical elements and three loops (D, anti-codon, and T loops). The record is from RNAcentral. Lineage: Archaea; Thermoproteati; Nitrososphaerota; Nitrososphaeria; Nitrososphaerales; Nitrososphaeraceae. RNAcentral also lists the same sequence under 3 other names.
UGGGAGGUCGUUCAACGGUAGGACAGCAGACUCUGGAUCUGCUUAUCGGGGUUCGAAUCCCUGCCUCCCAGCCA